RNAcentral lists this ribosomal RNA (486 nucleotides) under uncultured bacterium. Its description in RNAcentral is "partial 16S ribosomal RNA". It matches the Rfam family "Bacterial small subunit ribosomal RNA", at positions 28 to 507 of the family's 1533-position model. The record is from RNAcentral.
GAUGAACGCUAGCGGCAGGCUUAACACAUGCAAGUCGAGGGGCAGCGCGGGAUAGCAAUAUCCUGGCGGCGACCGGCGGAAGGGUGCGUAACGCGUGAGCGACAUGCCCGUUGCCCGGGGACAACCGGUGGAAACGCCGACUAAUCCCCGAUGGGAUACGAUGCUUCAUGGCAUUGUAUUGAAAGUUACGGCGGCGACGGAUUGGCUCGCGUCCGAUUAGCUGGUUGGCGGGGUAACGGCCCACCAAGGCUGCGAUCGGCAGGGGUUCUGAGAGGAAGGCCCCCCACAAUGGGACUGAGACACGGCCCAUACUCCUACGGGAGGCAGCAGUGAGGAAUAUUGGUCAAUGGGCGGAAGCCUGAACCAGCCAUGCCGCGUGCGGGAAGGAGGCCCUAUGGGCUGUGAACCGCUUUUGCCUGGGGGCAAUAAGGGCGUCGCGCACGUCCGAUGAGAGUACCAGGCGAAUAAGCAUCGGCUAACUCCGUG